GGGGAAUAUUGGACAAUGGGCGCAAGCCUGAUCCAGCCAUGCCGCGUGGGUGAAGAAGGCCUUCGGGUUGUAAAGCCCUUUUGUUGGGAAAGAAAAGCAGCCGGCCAAUACCCGGUUGUUCUGACGGUACCCAAAGAAUAAGCACCGGCUAACUUCGUGCCAGCAGCCGCGGUAAUACGAAGGGUGCAAGCGUUACUCGGAAUUACUGGGCGUAAAGCGUGCGUAGGUGGUGGUUUAAGUCCGGGGUGAAAGGCUACGGCUCAACCGUAGUGAGCCUCUGAAACUGGUGAACUUGAGUGUAGGAGAGGAAAGUGGAAUUCCCAGUGUAGCGGUGAAAUGCGUAGAUAUUGGGAGGAACACCAGUGGCGAAGGCGACUUUCUGGACUACAACUGACGCUGAGGCACGAAAGCGUGGGGAGCAAACA
RNAcentral lists this ribosomal RNA (425 nucleotides) under uncultured bacterium. Its description in RNAcentral is "bacterial SSU rRNA". It matches the Rfam family "Bacterial small subunit ribosomal RNA", at positions 356 to 774 of the family's 1533-position model. The record is from RNAcentral.